UCCGGGGGGGGCAAGCGUUGUUCGGAAUUACUGGGCGUAAAGGGCUCGUAGGCGGCCAACUAAGUCAGACGUGAAAUCCCUCGGCUUAACCGGGGAACUGCGUCUGAUACUGGAUGGCUAGAGGUUGGGAGAGGGAUGCGGAAUUCCAGGUGUAGCGGUGAAAUGCGUAGAUAUCUGGAGGAACACCGGUGGCGAAGGCGGCAUCCUGGACCAAUUCUGACGCUGAGGAGCGAAGGCCAGGGGAGCAAAUGGG
RNAcentral lists this ribosomal RNA (253 nucleotides) under uncultured bacterium. RNAcentral describes it as "partial 16S ribosomal RNA". It matches the Rfam family "Bacterial small subunit ribosomal RNA", at positions 524 to 776 of the family's 1533-position model. The record is from RNAcentral.